This 461-nucleotide unclassified non-coding RNA is filed under the name Zea mays. RNAcentral describes it as "misc RNA Zm00001eb132820". The record is from RNAcentral. Lineage: Eukaryota; Viridiplantae; Streptophyta; Magnoliopsida; Poales; Poaceae.
UGGGGCCCACGAGCAUUUCUACUUGCAUGCCUUUUCCUUCUUGCACCCAUGCAUGACGCGUACGAUUAACCGCAAGGGGCAUUCAAGCGAGUCAGUUGCUGGCCAGGGAAUGGAAUGGACCACGUCGGCGUCGGCGGCCAUGGCCAGGCGACGAUGAUGCGGCCUGUGGAGCAGGGUCCAUGGCCGGCGGCGGUGGAGCACGAGAGGGGCGCGGUGGAUGGUGCCACGGCGAGCGCAUGGGACCCGUCAGCAGAUGGGGAGGUGGAGGCACGGCUGGGCGGGCUGAUUGACGGUGCGCGUGCAGGAGAGCUCGGUGGGCUAGCAGCCAGCACGACGGCUCACCGGCGGCAUGACGCAGACGAUGAGGCAAAGCGCGACAUGGCACAGGGUGAGCUCGCCGGGACGAGGUGGGAGUGGGAGGACGCCAUGGAGCAUACCUACACGGCAGCGGCGAGCAGACG